AACGAACGCUGGCGGCAGGCCUAACACAUGCAAGUCGAGCGAACCCUUCGGGGUUAGCGGCGGACGGGUGAGUAACGCGUGGGAACGUGCCCUUUGCUACGGAAUAGCCCCGGGAAACUGGGAGUAAUACCGUAUGUGCCCUUCGGGGGAAAGAUUUAUCGGCAAAGGAUCGGCCCGCGUUGGAUUAGGUAGUUGGUGGGGUAAUGGCCUACCAAGCCGACGAUCCAUAGCUGGUUUGAGAGGAUGAUCAGCCACACUGGGACUGAGACACGGCCCAGACUCCUACGGGAGGCGGCAGUGGGGAAUCUUAGACAAUGGGCGCAAGCCUGAUCUAGCCAUGCCGCGUGAUCGAUGAAGGCCUUAGGGUUGUAAAGAUCUUUCAGUGGGGAAGAUAAUGACUGUACCCACAGAAGAAGCCCCGGCUAACUCCGUG
This 433-nucleotide ribosomal RNA is filed under the name uncultured bacterium. RNAcentral's name for it is "bacterial SSU rRNA". It matches the Rfam family "Bacterial small subunit ribosomal RNA", at positions 29 to 507 of the family's 1533-position model. The record is from RNAcentral.